UGAUAUGGCUUAAGUGGUAGAGCACCUGCCUAACAAGCUUGAGGCCCUGAGUUCAAAUCCCAGUAUACCAA
This 71-nucleotide transfer RNA is filed under the name Dipodomys ordii (Ord's kangaroo rat). It matches the Rfam family "tRNA". Rfam says of the family: Transfer RNA (tRNA) molecules are approximately 80 nucleotides in length. The record is from Rfam by way of RNAcentral. Lineage: Eukaryota; Metazoa; Chordata; Mammalia; Rodentia; Heteromyidae.